RNAcentral lists this long non-coding RNA (211 nucleotides) under Solanum tuberosum (potato). Its description in RNAcentral is "long non-coding RNA (STUB_LNC006274)". Lineage: Eukaryota; Viridiplantae; Streptophyta; Magnoliopsida; Solanales; Solanaceae. The record is from RNAcentral.
UGUUGUAUAUAUUCUCAUGGGUAGGCUGGGGCCCUGUCCCACGAAUCUUUACUACUCUUAGAGGCUUGCAGACUAGUGUGUGGUGUUUAUAGCUACGUUAUGGCCAUGCUGGCCUAUGUUGUUGGUUUGCUGAAGCUUGUGAGCUGUUUGAUGUAUUGUACUGAUAUUUACCUAUUUUUAGUUUUGGUAUAGAUAUCAUGGUGGCCUCGAC